RNAcentral lists this ribosomal RNA (253 nucleotides) under uncultured bacterium. RNAcentral describes it as "partial 16S ribosomal RNA". It matches the Rfam family "Bacterial small subunit ribosomal RNA", at positions 524 to 776 of the family's 1533-position model. The record is from RNAcentral.
UACAGAGGGUGCAGGCGUUAAUCGGAAUUACUGGGCGUAAAGCGUGCGUAGACGGUUGCGUAAGUCAGAUGUGAAAGCCCCGGGCUCAACCUGGGAAUUGCAUUUGAGACUGCGUAGCUAGGGUGCGGAAGAGGGAAGCGGAAUUUCCGGUGUAGCGGUGAAAUGCGUAGAUAUCGGAAGGAACACCAGUGGCGAAAGCGGCUUCCUGGUCCAGCACCGACGUUCAGGCACGAAAGCGUGGGGAGCAAACAGG